RNAcentral lists this ribosomal RNA (253 nucleotides) under uncultured bacterium. RNAcentral's name for it is "partial 16S ribosomal RNA". It matches the Rfam family "Bacterial small subunit ribosomal RNA", at positions 524 to 776 of the family's 1533-position model. The record is from RNAcentral.
UACAGAGGGGGCAAGCGUUGUUCGGAAUUACUGGGCGUAAAGGGCGCGUAGGCGGCCUUCUAAGUCGAACGUGAAAUCCCCGGGCUCAACCCGGGAACUGCGUCCGAUACUGGAAGGCUUGAAUCCGGGAGAGGGAUGCGGAAUUCCAGGUGUAGCGGUGAAAUGCGUAGGUAUCUGGAGGAACACCGGUGGCGAAGGCGGAUCUCUGGGCCUUACCUGACGCUCAGGUGCGAAAGCUAGGGGAGCGAACAGG